This 253-nucleotide ribosomal RNA is filed under the name uncultured bacterium. Its description in RNAcentral is "partial 16S ribosomal RNA". It matches the Rfam family "Bacterial small subunit ribosomal RNA", at positions 524 to 776 of the family's 1533-position model. The record is from RNAcentral.
UACAGAGGUGGCAAGCGUUGUUCGGAAUUACUGGGCGUAAAGGGCGCGUAGGCGGCCAUCUAAGUCAGACGUGAAAUCCCCCGGCUUAACCUGGGAACUGCGUCUGAUACUGGACGGCUUGGGUAUGGGAGAGGGAUGUAGAAUUCCAGGUGUAGCGGUGAAAUGCGUAGAUAUCUGGAGGAAUACCGGUGGCGAAGGCGGCAUCCUGGACCAUUACUGACGCUGAGGCGCGAAAGCUAGGGGAGCAAACGGG